GAGCAACAGAAUGCGCAUCAGAAAAUAGAUCCGCUCGAAUACUGGAGGGUUAAUGAAGUUCAAUUCAGCAAUCUUGCGCAGUGCGCGUUAAAAUAUUUAUGUAUACCUGCGACAUCUACUGACUCGGAAAGGACUUUCAGCAAGGCAGGACAAAUCGCGGACGAAAAGAGAUCUCGACUUAAACCUAAAACUUUGAACAUGCUGUUGUUUUUACAGAAAAACCAGUGGAUUAUUAGUUAAGAUAUAGAUAUCGAUUAGAUAAGUAAGAUAAGUAAGAACUGAACUGAACUGAACUGAACUGAACUGAAGUGAACUGAACUGAAAUAAUGUGAUUCCAUUUUUCUUUAUGAUUUCGUUAAAAUAUGUAUUAAGAUUAUGCUUUUUUAUUUGUUUCUGAAAAUAUUGUUGUUGUUUUGUUUGAAUAAAUAUAAGUUUAUAAUAA
This is a non-coding RNA of Drosophila suzukii, 442 nucleotides long. Lineage: Eukaryota; Metazoa; Arthropoda; Insecta; Diptera; Drosophilidae. The record is from RefSeq and is a predicted model, not a curated record.